This 515-nucleotide ribosomal RNA is filed under the name uncultured Entrophospora. Its description in RNAcentral is "SSU rRNA". It matches the Rfam family "Eukaryotic small subunit ribosomal RNA", at positions 569 to 1082 of the family's 1831-position model. Lineage: Eukaryota; Fungi; Glomeromycota; Glomeromycetes; Entrophosporales; Entrophosporaceae. The record is from RNAcentral.
AGCAGCCGCGGUAAUUCCAGCUCCAAUAGCGUAUAUUAAAGUUGUUGCAGUUAAAAAGCUCGUAGUUGAAUUUCGGGAUUGACGUGAUGGUCGUGCCUUAAGGGGUAUGAACUGUUGCAGUCAAUUUCUCACCUUCUGGAGAAAUAUGAUGUCCUUAAUUGGGUGUCAUAUGGAACCAGAACUUUUACCUUGAAAAAAUUAGAGUGUUUAAAGCAGGCAUAUUGCUCGAAUACAUUAGCAUGGAAUAAUAAAAUAGGACGGCAUGGUUCUAUUUUGUUGGUUUCUAGGAUCACCGUAAUGAUUAAUAGGGAUAGUUGGGGGCAUUAGUAUUCAAUUGUCAGAGGUGAAAUUCUUGGAUUUAUUGAAGACUAACUACUGCGAAAGCAUUUGCCAAGGAUGUUUUCAUUAAUCAAGAACGAAAGUUAGGGGAUCGAAGACGAUCAGAUACCGUCGUAGUCUUAACCAUAAACUAUGCCGACUAGGAAUCAGACGAUGUUAAUUUUUUAAUGACUUCG